UACGAAGGGGGCUAGCGUUGUUGGAAUCACUGGGCGUAAAGGGCGCGUAGGCGGCUUUGUAAGUCGGGGGUGAAAGCCUGUGGCUCAACCACAGAAUUGCCUUCGAUACUGCAUGGCUUGAGACCGGAAGAGGUAAGUGGAACUGCGAGUGUAGAGGUGAAAUUCGUAGAUAUUCGCAAGAACACCAGUGGCGAAGGCGGCUUACUGGUCCGGUUCUGACGCUGAGGCGCGAAAGCGUGGGGAGCAAACAGG
Molecule: ribosomal RNA, 252 nt
Filed under: uncultured bacterium
Lineage: Bacteria
Description: partial 16S ribosomal RNA
Rfam family: Bacterial small subunit ribosomal RNA
Source: RNAcentral